CGGACGGGUGAGUAACGCGUGAGAAUCUAACUUCAGGACGGGGACAACAGUUGGAAACGACUGCUAAUACCCGAUGUGCCGCAAGGUGAAACCUAAUUGGCCUGAAGAAGAGCUUGCGUCUGAUUAGCUAGUUGGUGGGGUAAAGGCCUACCAAGGCGACGAUCAGUAGCUGGUCUGAGAGGAUGAGCAGCCACACUGGGACUGAGACACGGCCCAGACUCCUACGGGAGGCAGCAGUGGGGAAUUUUCCGCAAUGGGCGAAAGCCUGACGGAGCAACGCCGCGUGAGGGAGGAAGGUCUUUGGAUUGUAAACCUCUUUUCUCAAGGAAGAAGUUCUGACGGUACUUGAGGAAUCAGCCUCGGCUAACUCCGUGCCAGCAGCCGCGGUAAUACGGGGGAGGCAAGCGUUAUCCGGAAUUAUUGGGCGUAAAGCGUCCGCAGGUGGUCAGCCAAGUCUGCCGUCAAAUCAGGUUGCUUAACGACCUAAAGGCGGUGGAAACUGGCAGACUAGAGAUCAGUAGGGGUAGCAGGAAUUCCCAGUGUAGCGGUGAAAUGCGUAGAGAUUGGGAAGAACAUCGGUGGCGAAAGCGUGCUACUGGGCUGUAUCUGACACUCAGGGACGAAAGCUAGGGGA
This 634-nucleotide ribosomal RNA is filed under the name uncultured cyanobacterium. RNAcentral's name for it is "bacterial SSU rRNA". It matches the Rfam family "Bacterial small subunit ribosomal RNA", at positions 99 to 767 of the family's 1533-position model. The record is from RNAcentral. Lineage: Bacteria; Bacillati; Cyanobacteriota.